This 73-nucleotide transfer RNA is filed under the name Eubacterium sp. RNAcentral describes it as "tRNA-Thr". It matches the Rfam family "tRNA". Rfam says of the family: Transfer RNA (tRNA) molecules are approximately 80 nucleotides in length. Their secondary structure includes four short double-helical elements and three loops (D, anti-codon, and T loops). The record is from RNAcentral. RNAcentral also lists the same sequence under 3 other names. Lineage: Bacteria; Bacillati; Bacillota; Clostridia; Eubacteriales; Eubacteriaceae.
GCUUCUGUAGCUCAGUUGGUAGAGCAAUUGCCUCGUAAGCAAUGGGUCACGCGUUCGAGUCGCGCCAGAAGCU